AUUGAACGCUGGCGGCAUGCUUUACACAUGCAAGUCGAACGGUAACAGGUUAAGCUGACGAGUGGCGAACGGGUGAGUAAUGCAUCGGAACGUGCCCGAUCGUGGGGGAUAACGCAGCGAAAGCUGCGCUAAUACCGCAUACGAUCUGAGGAUGAAAGCGGGGGACCGUAAGGCCUCGCGCGAUCGGAGCGGCCGAUGUCAGAUUAGGUAGUUGGUGGGGUAAAGGCUCCCCAAGCCGACGAUCUGUAGCUGGUCUGAGAGGACGACCAGCCACACGGGGACUGAGACACGGCCCAGACUCCUACGGGAGGCAGCAGUGGGGAAUUUUGGACAAUGGGCGAAAGCCUGAUCCAGCAAUGCCGCGUGCAGGAAGAAGGCCUUCGGGUUGUAAACUGCUUUUGUACGGAGCGAAAAGGCUCUCUCUAAUACAGGGGGCUCAUGACGGUACCGUAAGAAUAAGCACCGGCUAACUACGUGCCAGCAGCCGCCGUAA
Molecule: ribosomal RNA, 493 nt
Filed under: uncultured bacterium
Lineage: Bacteria
Description: partial 16S ribosomal RNA
Rfam family: Bacterial small subunit ribosomal RNA
Source: RNAcentral